This 493-nucleotide ribosomal RNA is filed under the name uncultured bacterium. Its description in RNAcentral is "partial 16S ribosomal RNA". It matches the Rfam family "Bacterial small subunit ribosomal RNA", at positions 29 to 523 of the family's 1533-position model. The record is from RNAcentral.
AUUGAACGCUGGCGGCAUGCUUUACACAUGCAAGUCGAACGGUAACAGGUUAAGCUGACGAGUGGCGAACGGGUGAGUAAUGCAUCGGAACGUGCCCGGUCGUGGGGGAUAACGCAGCGAAAGCUGCGCUAAUACCGCAUACGAUCUGAGGAUGAAAGCGGGGGACCGUAAGGCCUCGCGCGAUCGUAGCGGCCGAUGUCAGAUUAGGUAGUUGGUGGGGUAAAGGCUCACCAAGCCAACGAUCUGUAGCGGGUCUGAGAGGACGACCAGCCACACUGGGACUGAGACACGGCCCAGACUCCUACGGGAGGCAGCAGUGGGGAAUUUUGGGCAAUGGGCGAAAGCCUGAUCCAGCAAUGCCGCGUGCAGGAAGAAGGCCUUCGGGUUGUAAACUGCUUUUGUACGGAGCGAAAAGGUCUCCUCUAAUACAGGGGGCUCAUGACGGUACCGUAAGAAUAAGCACCGGCUAACUACGUGCCAGCCGCCGCGGUAA